This is a non-coding RNA of Ictidomys tridecemlineatus (thirteen-lined ground squirrel), 465 nucleotides long. The record is from RefSeq and is a predicted model, not a curated record. NCBI's taxonomy places the organism in Eukaryota, Metazoa, Chordata, Mammalia, Rodentia, Sciuridae.
CCUGACAUUCACAUGGCAUCGCUGGGACACUGACCUCCACCACCUGGCCAGAACAGUCUUCCAGCUCUCUCCACCAGGGGGCGAUCAAUAUGCAUAUUCUGAAAGUACAAAAAUAACUUCUCAAGGUAAAAGAGAAGGACUGACAAUCCAAUGAAGAAAUGGACAACAGUUUUGAAUCAACAGUUUGGAAAAGAUAAAAGGUGACCAGAGUGAUGAUUUCUCCUGGAUAAAUACUUAUGAGUCUGCUUGGGGGGUUGUAUGCAGAUCCUGGGCUGGCCACUGGAGUUUGCUGCUGAGAACCCCUUGGAGAGCUGUGAGAGAGACCUUGAUGGAGAUUUCGACACACAGAGAGCUGCUUCAUGUGAUGCUGCUUGACAUGAAAUGUGUAGAAAAUUAGGAUUUCUGUGGACCACAAAGGAGGUCUUCUCCUGAAACUUUUCACAGAAUAAACUCUUUUUGCUCCCA